CCUACGGGAGGCAGCAGUGGGGAAUCUUGCGCAAUGGGCGAAAGCCUGACGCAGCAACGCCGCGUGCGGGAUGAAGGCCUUCGGGUUGUAAACCGCUUUCAGCAGGGAAGAAAUUGACGGUACCUGCAGAAGAAGCCCCGGCCAACUACGUGCCAGCAGCCGCGGUAACACGUAGGGGGCGAGCGUUGUCCGGAUUUAUUGGGCGUAAAGAGCUCGUAGGCGGUUCGGUAAGUCGGGUGUGAAACCUUCCAGGCUCAACCUGGAGACGCCACCUGAUACUGCUGUGACUAGAGUCCGGUAGGGGAGUGUGGAACUCCUGGUGUAGCGGUGAAAUGCGCAGAUAUCAGGAAGAACACCAGCGGCGAAGGCGGCACUCUGGGCCGGUACUGACGCUGAGGAGCGAAAGCGUGGGUAGCAAACAGGAUUAGAUACCCUGGUAGUCCACGCCGUAAACGUUGGGCACUAGGUGUGGGUCUCAACCAACGAGAUCCGUGCCGCAGCUACGCAUAGUAGCCCGCCGUCGGGAGGUACGGCCGCGACGACGUAAACGUACGAAGGAAGUAGACGGCGNGAGACGUCGCCGACGGACGACGACGAGGGAGGUAGG
Molecule: ribosomal RNA, 607 nt
Filed under: uncultured bacterium
Lineage: Bacteria
Description: bacterial SSU rRNA
Rfam family: Bacterial small subunit ribosomal RNA (bases 1-519)
Source: RNAcentral